This 468-nucleotide ribosomal RNA is filed under the name uncultured bacterium. RNAcentral's name for it is "partial 16S ribosomal RNA". It matches the Rfam family "Bacterial small subunit ribosomal RNA", at positions 28 to 507 of the family's 1533-position model. The record is from RNAcentral.
GAUGAACGCUGGCGGCGUGCUUAACACAUGCAAGUCGAACGGAAAGGCCCAAGCUUGCUUGGGUCCUCGAGUGGCGAACGGGUGAGUAACACGUGGGUGAUCUGCCCUGCACUUCGGGAUAAGCCUGGGAAACUGGGUCUAAUACCGGAUAGGACGAUGGUUUGGAUGCCAUUGUGGAAAGUUUUUUCGGUGUGGGAUGAGCUCGCGGCCUAUCAGCUUGUUGGUGGGGUAAUGGCCUACCAAGGCGUCGACGGGUAGCCGGCCUGAGAGGGUGUACGGCCACAUUGGGACUGGGAUACGGCCCAGACUCCUACGGGAGGCAGCAGUGGGGAAUAUUGGACAAUGGGCGCAAGCCUGAUGCAGCGAAGCCGCGUGGGGGAUGACGGCCUUCGGGUUGUAAACUCCUUUCGCUAGGGACGAAGCGUUUUUGUGACGGUACCUGGAGAAGAAGCACCGGCUAACUACGUG